AACGAACGCUGGCGGCAUGCCUAACACAUGCAAGUCGAACGAGACCUUCGGGUCUAUUGGCGCACGGGUGCGUAACGCGUGGGAACCUGCCCUUAGGUUCGGAAUAACUCCCCGAAAGGGGUGCUAAUACCGGAUAAUGUCUUCGGACCAAAGAUUUAUCGCCUUUGGAUGGGCCCGCGUUGGAUUAGCUAGUUGGUAGGGUAAAAGCCUACCAAGGCGACGAUCCAUAGCUGGUCUGAGAGGAUGAUCAGCCACACUGGGACUGAGACACGGCCCAGACUCCUACGGGAGGCAGCAGUGGGGAAUAGUGGACCAUGGGCGAAAGCAUGAUCCAGCAAUGCCGCGUGAGUGAUGAAGGCCUUAGGGUUGUAAAGCUCUUUUACCCGGGAUGAUAAUGACAGUACCGGGAGAAUAAGCGCCGGCUAACUCCGUG
RNAcentral lists this ribosomal RNA (433 nucleotides) under uncultured bacterium. RNAcentral describes it as "partial 16S ribosomal RNA". It matches the Rfam family "Bacterial small subunit ribosomal RNA", at positions 29 to 507 of the family's 1533-position model. The record is from RNAcentral.